RNAcentral lists this long non-coding RNA (773 nucleotides) under Nicotiana benthamiana. RNAcentral describes it as "long non-coding RNA (NBEN_LNC023340)". Lineage: Eukaryota; Viridiplantae; Streptophyta; Magnoliopsida; Solanales; Solanaceae. The record is from RNAcentral.
GCUGAUGAUAUAGUCUUGAUAGACGAGACGAGGGUCGGUGUUAUUGAGAGGUUAGAGGUAUGGAGACAUACUCUCGAGUCUAAGGGUUUCAAAAUAAGUAGAUCUAAGACAGAAUACCUGGAGUGCAAGUUUAGCGCCGCGCCAAGCGAAGUAGGCAGGGACGCGAUGAUUGGAUCUCAGGUCAUCGCCAAGAGGGACAGUGUCAGUUAUCUUGGGUCGAUGAUUCAGGGGGACGGAGAGAUUGACGUGGACGUCACUCAUCGUAUAGGAGCGGGGUGGUCAAAGUGGAGGCUCGCAUCAGGAGUCCUGUGUGACAAGAAAGUUCCACAAAAACUCAGGGGGAAAUUUUAUAGAGCUGUGGUUAGGCCUGCCAUGUUGUAUGGGGCGGAGUGCUGGCCAGUGAAGAACUCUCAUGUUCAGAGAAUGAAGGUUGCGGAGUGUAUGGGGCAGAGUGCUGGCCAGUGAAGAACUCUCAUGUUCAGAGAAUGACGGUUGCGGAGAUGAAGAUGCUCAGGAGGAUGUGCGGGCUCACCAGGUUAGAUAAGAUUAAGAAUGAAGUUAUUCGAGAGAAGAGGGGGUGGCCCCGGUGGAUGAGAAGAUGCGUGAAUCGAGGCUGAGGUGGUUCGGGCAUGUGCGGAGGAGAAGUCCUGAUGCCCCGGUGAAGAUUUGUGAGCGGCUGGCGAUGGUCGGCGUACGGCAAGGCAGAUGGAGGCCUAAGAGGUAUUGGGCAGAGGUGAUUAGGCAUGACAUGGCUAGAAUGCGGGUUUCCGNNN